RNAcentral lists this ribosomal RNA (400 nucleotides) under uncultured bacterium. RNAcentral describes it as "bacterial SSU rRNA". It matches the Rfam family "Bacterial small subunit ribosomal RNA", at positions 355 to 753 of the family's 1533-position model. The record is from RNAcentral.
UAGGGAAUAUUGGUCAAUGGGCGCAAGCCUGAACCAGCCAUGCCGCGUGCAGGAUGAAGGCCCUCAGGGUCGUAAACUGCUUUUGUACGGGAACAAAAAGCUCCUGCGGGGGCCAUUGAGGGUACCGUAAGAAUAAGCACCGGCUAACUCCGUGCCAGCAGCCGCGGUAAUACGGAGGGUGCAAGCGUUAUCCGGAUUUACUGGGUUUAAAGGGUGCGUAGGCGGCUUUUUAAGUCAGUGGCGAAAGCCUGGCGCUUAACGUCAGAAUUGCCAUUGAUACUGGAGAGCUUGAGUCAAGAAGAGGUAGGCAGAAUUCAUGGUGUAGCGGUGAAAUGCAUAGAUACCAUGAGGAAUUCCAAUAGCGAAGGCAGCUUACUGGUCUUUGACUGACGCUGAGGCA